This 459-nucleotide ribosomal RNA is filed under the name uncultured bacterium. Its description in RNAcentral is "partial 16S ribosomal RNA". It matches the Rfam family "Bacterial small subunit ribosomal RNA", at positions 338 to 795 of the family's 1533-position model. The record is from RNAcentral.
CCUACGGGAGGCAGCAGUGAGGAAUAUUGGUCAAUGGUCGGGAGACUGAACCAGCCAAGCCGCGUGAGGGAGGAAGGUACAGAGUAUCGAAAACCUCUUUUGUCAGGGAACAAAGACUGGGAAGCGUCCCCGGAUGAGUGUACCUGAAGAAAAAGCAUCGGCUAACUCCGUGCCAGCACCCGCGGUAAUACGGGGGAUGCGAGGGUUAUCCGGAUUUAUUGGGUUUAAAGGGUGCGCAGGCGGUCGGGUAAGUCAGUGGUCAACGCCCGGGGCCAAACCCCGGCCCGCCGUUGAAACUGGCAGUCUCGAGUUGGAGAGAGGUAUGUGGAAUGCGCGGUGUAGCGGUGAAAUGCAUAGAUAUCGCGCAGAACUCCGAUUGCGAAGGCAGCAUGCCGGCUCCACACUGACGCUGAGGCACGAAAGCGUGGGUAUCGAACAGGAUUAGAUACCCUUGUAGUC